GUAUGCUGGGAGUGUGUGUGUUUGUGAUAUAUUUCCUUUUUAUUUUGAUCUACCAGGUUCUCCCCCUCUUGGGUUUUGCACUUGGCCUGAAUACCAUACCAUACUUGAUACCAUAAGUAUGCAACAACAAGUGAAAGUGCUUUUGAAUUUGGCAUGAAAAUAGUCCAGUUCUUGUCUGUCGUUGUGGAAAACCCUGUGUUGAUAAAAAGGUCUGAAUCCUUGGCUGAGCUGUUAUUUAUAAGGAUGUUUGAGACCAAGGUGAUUUUCAAGAUCAGCUUUAUCGUCCUUCAGCAGAUGUUAUGUCUAUUGACUUUGUAUGCCAAGGCCAACCAGAUGAUUAAGUACAAAUACAAAAGUACUACAUUUUUGGCAAAACAAUUCUUAACGGUUUUUAGCAAUGUGUUAUUUUCUAAGUUCAGCCUCUCAGAAAAUGUAGCCCAAACACUGAAGGUUAUGAGUUCAAUAACGGAGACCCUUCUUGCUUGAAAUGCUCAGCUACAAAUAAUUAUGUUUUGUACAUUUAACAUAUUGAGUGGCAUGGUGGUUCAGUGGUUACUAUUGUCGCCUCACAGCAAGAGGGUUCCAGGUUUGAUGCUUGCGGCCAAGCGGUGUAUUUCCGAUUGGGGUUUGCAUGUUCUCCCUGUUCCUCUGUGGGUUUUCUCCGAGUACCCUGGCUUCCCCCCACAGUCCAAAGACAUGCAGAUUAGGUUAAGUGACAACUCUAAAUUGCCUGUAGGUGUGAUUAAUCUCUGUGUGUCAGCCCUGUGAUAGACUGGUAACCUCUUCCAGGGUGACCCUGCCUCUCACCCAGUGUUGGCUGGUAAUGACUACAGCACCCCCCUGCAGCCCUCAGUAGGAUAAGUGGUAUAAAUAAUGGGUGGCUAGAUGGACAUUUAUCAUAACGUGUCCAGUCAUAUUUUCAGUUUUCAUAUCCAUUUUUCUGUGUGCACUAGUGGUGCUCACACAUGAGUAAAAGUGUAGUUCUUUCCUGGAUCCUUCCUAUUCCAACCAGUCAAGAUCAAAGGUGAUGCAACUUGUUUGGCUGUCAGACCAGCAUCAGCUCUCUGUUCUUGACUACUCAUUCCUUUUUCCUCCAUUUUCAGAGAACUUGGUAAGAGGCCGUACGUCUCAGACGGGAAGAAUGGGAGAAGACGGCGCUUAAAGAUUGAACAGGUGUCAACAGCAGGUUAAGUCCAGCACAAGAAGAAGCGAAAUAUUACAGCUGAAUAAAACAUCACAGGAGUCCUAAUGCUUAUGCUCAGUGUUGGAGAGUUUUUUAUUUAGCAGCUCAGAGCUCCUUUGGCUAAAUUCUUUCUGCUGCAAUACUGCAAGUCAGUGGGUUAUUUGGAAAAC
Monopterus albus (swamp eel) is the source of this 1353-nucleotide long non-coding RNA. RefSeq lists it as uncharacterized. The record is from RefSeq and is a predicted model, not a curated record. The transcript has 3 exons. Lineage: Eukaryota; Metazoa; Chordata; Actinopteri; Synbranchiformes; Synbranchidae.